AGCUCCAAUAGCGUAUAUUAAAUUUGUUGCAGUUAAAAAGCUCGUAGUUGAAAAGUGUUGAGAGUGUGGCUCUGGAUAGAUGGUAAAAAAAUUUGCUAUCUAUUCUCCCUCUCUCUAUCAUCUUUUAUUAAAAUAAGUGUUGUAGAUAUUAAUUUAUUUACUUCUUCUUUUUUAAUUUGUUUACUGUGAAAAAAUUAGAGUGUUUAAAGCAAGAGUUGAUGUGUAGGGGUAAACCUUACCUUUCUUUUGUAUUCUUUUAGCAUGGGAUAAUGAAAUAAGAAAAUUAUAUUAUAUUUUUGGUUUUUUUAAAUAGUUGUAUUUUAAUGAUUAAUAGAGAUAGUUGGGGAUAUUCAUAUUUAAUUGUCAGAGGUGAAAUUCAUGGAUUUAUGAAAGAUGAACU
This 400-nucleotide ribosomal RNA is filed under the name phytoplankton environmental sample. RNAcentral's name for it is "partial small subunit ribosomal RNA". It matches the Rfam family "Eukaryotic small subunit ribosomal RNA", at positions 587 to 941 of the family's 1831-position model. The record is from RNAcentral.